Lycium barbarum (goji berry) is the source of this 1214-nucleotide long non-coding RNA. RefSeq lists it as uncharacterized. NCBI's taxonomy places the organism in Eukaryota, Viridiplantae, Streptophyta, Magnoliopsida, Solanales, Solanaceae. The transcript is spliced from 4 exons. The record is from RefSeq and is a predicted model, not a curated record.
GUUCCUGCACUUUAUGUUUCUUAAAUUUUCCUUUUGCUAACACUAGGUUUAUUUGGAGUCAUAGUGGUGUGUAAUGCUACAAUUGAUGCUUUUUGAAAAAAGAUUAAAUUUGAUUUCCCGAAAGAAUGAGAUGUUGUAGUUAACAAAGGACUUUAAGCUCUGCUUUUUCGAGAUUGUUUCUAUUAUUAUCGGCCUACUUUUUCCGGUAGGUAGUCACUCUAUUUACUAAUACGCUAUGAUGAUACUUUUGUUUAAUGUAAUAUGUGAUUAAAUUAUUAUUUUUGUGGAUUACUGUUGGACUAUAUACCUUGAAGGUUCUUAUAUUAGAAUUAUUAGUUUAAAGGUGAGAUACAUAAAAGUGUGCAUGUUUGUGCAUGCACUUCAAAUGAUGCAUGUGCUUAUGUUCUAUUAGACGGACGACAAAUUAUUUAUAUAUUUUAAUCUAGCUGCUAGGAUAUAAUGAAUAAGUUACUCUUUUGGUUUAAAGGGAAAAAAAGGGAUGCUUGGUAGGGAUAGCUUGCAACAGAGAGAAUAGAGGGGUGUUUGGUAGGGGUGGCUUGCAACGAAGAGAAUAAUGCAAUGACAAUUUUCAGUUAGGAGGGGUUCAUUUGAAGCUAAAGCUAUUUGAGCAGUGGGAUCAUAGAGUAAUCAUCAUAAGUUGUCGCAAUUAGAAAGCUAUCUAUUUUGAACUAUGAGGAAAAAGAAAAUGCCCACCAACCAUUCCAACAGCAACAAUGAUGGACAUCACUGAAGAAGCAAGCGCAAGGUUGUGGACGUCGGCUUAGAAGGAAGAAAUCAACAAAACCUACCCAGCAAAGACAGACCUUCUAGCAGUUAACAGAAAACUGAAAUCAGGGCCCCCUACUGUGUCUCAAGAAGCUUUUGAAGCAAAGACAUCAAACUGCUAUCUUUGCCACAUUGCACUGCCUAUUUUGAAAGCUGGAUUAAAGAAAAACAAGAAUAUAUGCGGCACACAAUGUUUUAAAAAGACACAGUCACAGCUACAAACAGCAACUGCGAAGAACAUGACUGCCAACAAAAUAGGAGCCGACUAUUGUGCCUUUCGCCAAUACCAGCUUAUGUGAAUGUGUAAAUAAUGUGCAUAUAUGCAUAGACAAUACAAUCAUGAAUGUAUAUAUAUCAACAUUCUAAACAAUAUGUUUCAGCAGAAACAGUUCAAAUAAAAUGCUUGGACUAUCCAGUCUGCAUAACAA